UUCAACCAGCGCUAACCGGAAGUGAGACAACGCGACGAGUGACUAGUUCCGGUUUUUGUGAAAAAGGUCUACUCCACCACGUCUUACAUGACAACAGCGCCAUCUAUUGGCCGGCGGUGGUAUUACAGUUCACCACAGACAUGCUGUUCAAGCAUGCUGUGUGUGUUUUGCGACCGUGCGUAAGUGCAGCCAAUACAAUGUAGACCUAACUUUAUCACUCAAUCAAUAAUUAAGGAGCACGCUCUAGGAUUAUACACAACUUCAAUACAACCGUGCAAUGCAACUUGGUAUUACACAGCAUAAAACAAAUAAAAUAUAUUUUACACAUUUUAAUAACACCAAUUUUCAACCAAAAUGAUUUCUUCCUUUAAACAGAAAAUAAACUUUUUUUUUUAACUUUUCAGUGACACAACUGGUACACAUUUUACUGAAAUGAAUUGACUUUUAUUAAAGUUUUUCACAGUGAAUGUUUACUGUCAUUGAAUCACCAGGCUCUAAAGAAAACCGAAUGCAAGCCAGAAAACGGCGUCGGGAAGAGCAGUAACCACAUGUGAGAGGAGGCCGUUUGGAUCACAGUGCAAAUAUUGCAGGGCGACCAGCUAAUAUUUGAAGGGGGAGAUGACAUGAAGACCAACAGUGGGACAGAGAAGAUUCAGAAAAAAAACUCCUCCCUUAUCCAAGAAAUUGAAGAAGCAGCCUUACUGCAUGACAUCAUAAGGGCAGCCAAAUGCUCCAGAACACCAGCGUUUCCAGGAAGAUGGUCCCUGCCUGAUGUUAUAGAGAUGGAAGACGGGAACUCUGAAAGAACUCCAAAGCUGUGACUUCAUGAGUGAAGGGAAGAGAAUCCUGGAGCUGAGGGAUCCUUUCAUUUUCUCCUUUCAGUUGAAAAGUGACUGAAACAGUUUUAGUGCAGAAAUGAUGGA
Long non-coding RNA from Oryzias melastigma (Indian medaka), 923 nucleotides. RefSeq lists it as uncharacterized. The record is from RefSeq and is a predicted model, not a curated record. NCBI's taxonomy places the organism in Eukaryota, Metazoa, Chordata, Actinopteri, Beloniformes, Adrianichthyidae. The transcript is spliced from 3 exons.